UCUGUAGCGCCAUCUCCCCUUAUUACACCUCCAUACGGCACACAGUAUCAUGUUAGACUGUGAUAUCGCCUGUGAUUAAUUUAUUGAUUUUCUCGAUUAAGUGAAAAAUGAAAGAUCUAUGGUGGGAGUGUCACGUAGUAGCAAUAUCUUUGUUUUGUGCAAAGGCAAUUGGAUGGAAUCGCGUUUACAUCAAGCCGAUGGAGUUGUCAUUCUGUGUCUGAAAAUGUAAAUAUUUGUGAUAAACAAAUGCGACUAUGGAUUUUUUCAUAUUAUGGCAUUGAACACUCAUGCUGAUGACUGCACAACACUUCAUACGUGGUACUUCAACACUUUUAAAUGGAUCCCUGUGCUCUUCAUAUUUACGAUCGUCGUGCAUGCGACUGGUUGUAUUAUGCACACGUACUUCUGAUGUGUAUAUGUGCAGUUGCAUACAUCCGACAUACCGUGCCAUAGACAACUGAAAGCGACCAAUAUCUCUGUGGUCAUGAAAGGUGUACAAGCAGCCUGAAGAUGUCACAAAGACCCAAGGAAACUAGUUACGAACAAAGAGAGAGAAACAGAGAACGGAUGAGGCGUUAUCGUGCAACACGAACUGCAGAGCAGGCAACCAUUGACCGCCAGAGACAUGCUCAGUAUGCUAAAAUACGUCGUGAGAACAUGUCACCAACUUCCAGGGCACAAAUGAGGCAGCGGGCUUGUUUACGGGCCAGGGAAAAGAGGGCUUCAUUAUCUGAUGAAGAAAAAGCUGUAUGGCGUGCAAAAAAUGCAGAAUAUCAAAAGCUUAGACGAUCGCGAUUGUCUGCUGAAGAGAGAGACAGAGUUAGGAGACGCAAUGCAGAAAGAACAAGAGCAAAGAGAGCUGUAAAUGCUGCACAGCCGUCUGUGGACACUGAUUACUCCAACCAGUAUGCAAGUAUGGUAGUACAGUCAGAUCCUGGAAAGAAUGAUAUUUGGGAACAAUCUGAUUUUAUACACCCAAGUUUUGCAAUGCCAACUGAUGAUUUUGACUAUUUUCCUUUCAAUUUAAAGACUGAAAAUCAUGACGACUGUGAGGGGAACCAGUUUUGGAACUGUUUUGGCCUUAUGAGGCAUGUUAAUUCUGAUGACGUCAGAGUCAGGUGUGAGCCUUUGCCAACAGACCCAUUUUAUUAUUCAUAUUGAGAUGGUUGUAUUGGCUGUGCUUAGAGUUCACACCAUGUCAUUAAAGUUUAAUAGACAUCGUAUACAGUAUUGUGUCAUUUGUGACAAACAGAACUGGUGGAUUUUCUGUGGGUUACAUCUAGAACAAAAUGAUGAAAACUGUUUCCUGUUCAGAGUGAAAUAUAGUUAAUUGUGUUUUCUGUAAAUUUUUAUACUGCAAAUUAAAUUAGUGAAUUGAAUGUGAAACCUGAUAAUUGCAUAACUGUUUUGUGGUGAGAAGGGUGAGCAGUGGUCUUGGUUAUCUACACUGUUAGAUUGUCGUGUCAACUGAAAGUAAAUGUAACAAUAGAUUUUAUGGUUCUGAAGGAAGAUUAAUGGUGGACUACAGAGUGACAACUGGAUUAGCAUGUUAGUGGCAAACGAUGCAACUUUCAACUCAACAACAAGAUAAGUGUAGAUGGUACUCAAAACUCACCGCUGAUGACACACUCCUGCGUGCUUCAGUAAUGGAACUAGUUGAUGUGUAAGAAUUGACCACAGCGCCACCGUUUGCAGACUCGUCAUACUCGCAGAAGUAGUGGGAAGGAGAGAAGCCAGUACUUUGAUUUCUAAUGCAUUUCAACCAUGUGCUACAGCAUCCUGAGGAGCAUUCUGAGGUCACUGUGGUGUUGGCAAUCUACUGUUGUGUCGGACCUUGCAGACUUCCAGUGGGAGCUAAUGAAUUGUCAGUGUCAGCUUACUUGGUGCAUCCUGAAUCAGUGUAAAUCUACUAGGAUUACAUAGAACUGUUAUGUUUAGUGUCAUGAUAGAGUAGAAGAAAACUCAAAAUUAAUGACAGAGAUGGGAGAGCAUUAGAGAAGAUUACUAACUGUUUUAAGAUUAUUGUCAUGAUAGUAAUUGCCAAGCUUAAUAUGCAUCCAGAAAAUGCAUUGUCCACAAAAGCUGUACAACAGCACACAGACAUCAUUCAUGGCAGAGCUGCUUGUUCCAAAUCUAUUGUAAACCAGAUGAACAUUAAUGUUGGAGUAUAGUUCAAGGAGCACAGAACCUGGGCUACCAUUCAGUGGAAACAUUCGAUGUAGUCCACCAAGCUUUCUUUUACCCCAUACCCCACUACAGUACAUGUAGAUUUAAGGAGAAAACCAGAGGUUGUGUUCAAUCUACACUCCUCUACCAACUGUGAAGUGUGGUGGCAGUUAUCUAAUGACUUAGAGGUCACAUUAUGGUUUAAAAAGAUAUCUUAUGGUUGCAUUGAAAGGAAAUGAAACACAUUUAGAUUAUCUGUGAUGUAUAUAUCUAGUUUAUUCAAUGGCAAAAACAUUUUUUCCAGCUUGGGACUGGCAUUUCCAACACUGUGGUGCUUGUUCAUCCAGGUUUAUCAAAACUUGUUUGGAUGAGCAAGUGUAUGAAGUAACACAAUUUUCCUGGGCUCAGCACUCACCAUAUUGCAAUAUUUUUGAAUGGUUGUGGUCUUUAUUGAAAAAGCUGUUAAAAGCCACUUACACCCUUCCAGCACACCUCAAAGAACUGUAAUAAUUUCUUUGUGGGGAACUGCAUGAAGUUCCAUCAACCACCUGCAGUAUUUAGGAUUUAUAUGCAGUUCAAGCUAUUCUGCAUGCAAAAUAUGUCCUUACAACAAUUUGGUGGCUGUUUAUAUUGUUUAUUGUUUUGUUUGACAUGGGUAUGUUGAUGCAUUUUUG
This is a long non-coding RNA of Schistocerca cancellata (South American locust), 2840 nucleotides long. RefSeq lists it as uncharacterized. The transcript has 4 exons. NCBI's taxonomy places the organism in Eukaryota, Metazoa, Arthropoda, Insecta, Orthoptera, Acrididae. The record is from RefSeq and is a predicted model, not a curated record.